GACAGAGGGGGCAAGCGUUGCUCGGAAUUACUGGGCGUAAAGGGCGCGUAGGCGGGAUGGCAAGUCGGUCGUGAAAUCCCUGGGCUCAACUCAGGGGGGUCGGCCGAUACUGCCGUUCUUGAGGGAUGCAGAGGAGACUGGAAUUCCCGGUGUAGCGGUGAAAUGUGUAGAGAUCGGGAGGAACACCGGUGGCGAAGGCGGGUCUCUGGGCAUUCCCUGACGCUGAGGCGCGAAAGCGUGGGGAGCAAACGG
Molecule: ribosomal RNA, 252 nt
Filed under: uncultured prokaryote
Description: partial 16S ribosomal RNA
Rfam family: Bacterial small subunit ribosomal RNA
Source: RNAcentral